UUUCACACCACACAUUUACAGACCUAGUACCAAUCCUACUCAAACUAUUUUGAAAAACAGCAGGGAAUACUUCCAAACUUAUUCUGUGGGGCCAUUAUUACCCUCAUACCAAAAUCAGACAAAGACAUCAAAGAAGGAAACUACAGGCCAGUAUCUCUAAUAUUGGUGCAAACAUCCUCAACAAAAUACCAGCAAAUCAAAUUC
Molecule: long non-coding RNA, 204 nt
Filed under: Homo sapiens (human)
Lineage: Eukaryota; Metazoa; Chordata; Mammalia; Primates; Hominidae
Description: non-protein coding lnc-LIPI-3:1
Source: RNAcentral